RNAcentral lists this transfer RNA (71 nucleotides) under Hypsiglena ochrorhyncha nuchalata (California nightsnake). RNAcentral's name for it is "tRNA-Gln". It matches the Rfam family "tRNA". From Rfam's summary of the family: Transfer RNA (tRNA) molecules are approximately 80 nucleotides in length. RNAcentral also lists the same sequence under 8 other names. The record is from RNAcentral. Lineage: Eukaryota; Metazoa; Chordata; Lepidosauria; Squamata; Dipsadidae.
UAGAAAGUAGUAUAAAGGUAGUAUUAAAAGUUUUGGGCUUUUAGGUUUAAGUUCGAGUCUUGACUUUCUAG